ACCGAUGCUGGCAUUAAGACCGCACUCAAUGAGCUGUAUUCCGCCAUAAGCAACCAGGAAAACGCUCAUCCAGAGGCGGCGCUCCUAGUGACCGGGGACGUUAAUGCAGGGAAACUUAAAUCUGUUUUACGAAACUUCUAUCAGCAUGUUAAAUGUGCAACCAGAGGGAUAAAAAUUACUAGCGGCGUGACCACCUUUACUCCACACACAGAGACGCAUCUCCCUCACCCUCCAUUUGGCAAAUCUACCCUCCUAAAGCAGGAAGCACCAGUGACACGAUCAAUAAAAAAGUGGUCAGAUGAAGCAGAUGCUAAGCUAAAGGACUGUUUUGCUAGCACAGACUGGAAUAUGUUCCGGGGUGGCAUUGAGGAGUACACCACAUCUGUCAUUGGCAACCAGACGCCAUGGAUUACAGGCAACAUCCGCACUGAGCUAAAUGCUAGAGCUGCUGCUUUCAAGGAGCGGGACUGUAACCCGGAAGAUCAUAAGAAAUCCCGCUAUGCCCUCCGACGAACCACCAAACAGGCCAAGCGUUAAUACAGGACUAAGAUCGAAUUGUACUACACCGGCUCCGACGCUCGUCGGAUGUGGCAGGGCUUGCAAACCAUUACAGACUACAAAGGGAAGCACAGCCGAGGGCUGCCUAGUGACUCGAGCCUACCAGAUGAGCUAUACUACUUCUACGCUUGCUUCGAGGCACAUAACCCUGAAACAUGCAUUAGAGCACCAGCUGUUUUGGAUGACUGUGUGAUCACGCUCUCCAUAGUCAAUGUCGUUGCUGUAAAUGAGAAUGUGUUCUCAGUCUACUUACCUCGUAAAAUAAGUUUGCAGAUGACACAACAGUGGUAGGCCUGGACAACAACGAGACAGUCUGUAGGCAGGAGGUCAGUGACCUGGCUGUGUGGUGCCACAACAACAACCUCUCCCUCAAUGUGAUCAAGAUAAAGUAGAUGAUUGUGGACUACAUGAAAAGGAGGACCAAGCAUGCCUACAUUCUCAUUGACGGAUCAGGUUGAGAGCUUCAAGUUCCUUGGUGUCCACAUCAUCAAAUUAAAUUUAUUUAUAUAGCCCUUCGUACAUCAGCU
Long non-coding RNA from Oncorhynchus tshawytscha (Chinook salmon), 1085 nucleotides. The record is from Ensembl. NCBI's taxonomy places the organism in Eukaryota, Metazoa, Chordata, Actinopteri, Salmoniformes, Salmonidae.